Rhincodon typus (whale shark) is the source of this 1120-nucleotide long non-coding RNA. RefSeq lists it as uncharacterized. The transcript has 3 exons. The record is from RefSeq and is a predicted model, not a curated record. NCBI's taxonomy places the organism in Eukaryota, Metazoa, Chordata, Chondrichthyes, Orectolobiformes, Rhincodontidae.
AGAGUUUUGGUAUUUCUCUUUCCACCUGCUGGUUGUGUAUCUCCUUCGCACUCCACUGUCUUAGAAGAAGAAUGACCUGUGUCUUGGAAAGGUUAAAAGCAUCAGGCUUUAUCACCUUAAGCAGUGUCUCCUAACUUCAAGACAACGUGACUUUAAAAGUGGAUUCUGGAUUCUCCUUCAGAGUAUACUGAUACACUGGUACUCUCUCUCAAAUACCAGAAAAUUCUACAGUUGUUAGUAUUCACAGAAACUGAUGCUGCUAAAGGUUCAGAACUUCUGCCAUUGUCUGAAUUCUCUGUCUGCUUGGUCUUCAAUCAGUUUUCCACAUAUCUAUCACCAAAAUACUAGAGACUAUUUUAUAGACAGCCACUGCAGCUAAUGUGAGAGUUGAUUUUCAUCAGGGUGUUUUACCUGAUACAGCAGAGUUUACAUCAUCUCCAGUAACUUGAGAAUCUGGCAGACCACAUCAUCCAGAUGUCUGACAUGAGACUCCCAAAAUAAGCCCACUAUUUGUGAGCUCUGUCAAGUAAGUGGUUACCAGGAUGGGAGCUGAAAUGUUUUGAGGAUAUCCUGAAAGCCUCGCUGAAAAACAUGCAAGAUGCCCACUGACUUGUGAGAUUCUGUUGUCCAAGUUGCCCAAACUGGAGAAGAAGCAUUCACAAAGGUGCCAAUCAUUCAGCACCUGAGACAGACCCUAGUGGAGGCCAAAUGCAAACAGUGGAAGAAGUGUACAAAAACCUGGGCAUCACAGCGACCUGCUUCUUCAAGCACCAGUGUGGGUGGAUCCAACAUUGGACUGUUUCAUCACCCCAGGACCCAUAACUUGGAGAGAAAGAAAUUCAUCCUUAAUCUUGAGGGAUAGCCUUAGAAGACAGGAUUGUGUAGGUCUUGCUGUAUGCUGCUUCAUCACCUGAUGAAAUAUAUCAUGAAAUAUAAGAAUUCAAUAUAGUUCCUGCCAUUGCCUUUUUGGAAACAGCAUCUUACUGUCUGCUUUAUUUUGGAAAUGUUUUGAAUAAUGUAUGAUAUUACAUGGAAACCUUGCAUGGUACGUCUAAACCAAGCUUGCCACAGCAAUUAUAUCUUUUCCAUUUAAUUCUGAUUAUCAUUUUAACAUGUUAUU